UUGACGGCGUAGGCUAAAUUGUGCUAGCCGAUGGUUGUGCUAGUCUAAGCAAGUAGGUGAGUGUUUAGGAAAAUCCGGACACUGUAAACACCGAGAUGUGAUGGGGAACUGAUCAGAAUUUCUGAUCAGGGUAGCAAUUGAUGCCACACUUCCAAGAAAAGUUGCUAAACUAUAGGAUCUAUUAAUCCGUACUACAAACCGACACAGGUAGACAGGUAGAGAAUACUAAGGCGUAGAGAUAACUUGGGUGAAGGAACUCGGCAAAAUGACACCGUAACUUUGGGAGAAGGUGAACCUUCAUUAUGUGAGACAAUUUAUGUUAUGCAUAAACUUGUUGAGCGGAAGGAGGUCUCAGAGAAAUGGCGGUAGCGACUGUUUACUAA
This 383-nucleotide ribosomal RNA is filed under the name Ctenophora environmental sample. Its description in RNAcentral is "partial Bacterial large subunit ribosomal RNA". It matches the Rfam family "Bacterial large subunit ribosomal RNA", at positions 1469 to 1810 of the family's 2925-position model. Lineage: Eukaryota; Metazoa; Ctenophora. The record is from RNAcentral.